Molecule: non-coding RNA, 147 nt
Filed under: Kurthia massiliensis
Lineage: Bacteria; Bacillati; Bacillota; Bacilli; Caryophanales; Caryophanaceae
Source: RNAcentral
CAUUCGUUUGAUGAAAAGGGAAGUUAGUGCAAUUCUAACGCUGUCCCGCAACUGUAAUUCCGAGCUAUUCACAUAUACCACUGUUUCAACGAAAUGGGAAGGUGUGAUAUGCAAUGACGAUAAGCCAGGAGACCUGCCUUUUCAAGU